Molecule: ribosomal RNA, 196 nt
Filed under: Ditylum brightwellii
Lineage: Eukaryota; Bacillariophyta; Thalassiosirophyceae; Lithodesmiales; Lithodesmiaceae
Description: partial Bacterial large subunit ribosomal RNA
Rfam family: Bacterial large subunit ribosomal RNA
Source: RNAcentral
CGACUUACCAAACCGAUUCAAACUCCGAAUACCUACAAGUGCCGAGCAUGGGAGACACACGGCGGGUGCUAACGUCCGUCGUGAAAAGGGAAACAACCCAGACCGCCAAUUAAGGCCCCUAAGUAAUAGCUAAGUGCGAAACGAUGUGGAGGUGCUGAGACAAUCAGGAGGUUGGCUUAGAAGCAGCCAUCCUUUA